CAGCAGCCGCGGUAAUACGAAGGGUGCAAGCGUUAAUCGGAUUUACUGGGCGUAAGGGGCGCGUAGGUGGUUAUUUAAGUGAGAUGUGAAAGCCCCGGGCUUAACCUGGGAACUGCAUCUUAUACUGGGUAACUGGAGUGCAGUAGAGGGUAGUGGAAUUUCCAGCGUAGCGGUGAAAUGCGUAGAUAUCGGAAGGAACACCAGUGGCGAAGGCGGCUACCUGGACUGAGACUGACACUGAGGCGCGAGAGCGUGGGGAGCAAACAGGAUUAGAUACCCGAGUAGUCCCUGUCUCUUAUAC
This 301-nucleotide ribosomal RNA is filed under the name uncultured bacterium. RNAcentral's name for it is "partial 16S ribosomal RNA". It matches the Rfam family "Bacterial small subunit ribosomal RNA", at positions 509 to 807 of the family's 1533-position model. The record is from RNAcentral.